GCUGGGACAGCUCAGUCAGCAGAGCAUGAGACUUUCCAUCUCAAAGUCAUGGGUUCGAGCCCUACAGCGGGCA
Podarcis lilfordi (Lilford's wall lizard) is the source of this 73-nucleotide non-coding RNA. Lineage: Eukaryota; Metazoa; Chordata; Lepidosauria; Squamata; Lacertidae. The record is from the annotation of a GenBank genome assembly.